GCGUUGGUGGUUCAGUGGUAGAUUUCUCGCCUGCCACGUGGGAGACGGGGGUUCAAUUCCGCGCCAACGCA
Molecule: transfer RNA, 71 nt
Filed under: Paramuricea clavata
Lineage: Eukaryota; Metazoa; Cnidaria; Anthozoa; Malacalcyonacea; Plexauridae
Rfam family: tRNA
About the family: Transfer RNA (tRNA) molecules are approximately 80 nucleotides in length.
Source: Rfam by way of RNAcentral